RNAcentral lists this transfer RNA (72 nucleotides) under Saurida nebulosa (clouded lizardfish). RNAcentral describes it as "tRNA-Val". It matches the Rfam family "tRNA". Rfam says of the family: Transfer RNA (tRNA) molecules are approximately 80 nucleotides in length. Their secondary structure includes four short double-helical elements and three loops (D, anti-codon, and T loops). Lineage: Eukaryota; Metazoa; Chordata; Actinopteri; Aulopiformes; Synodontidae. The record is from RNAcentral. RNAcentral also lists the same sequence under 1 other name.
CAGAGCGAAGCUAAAAUAGUAAAGCAUCUCCCUUACACCGAGAAGAAGUCUGUGCAACUCAGACCACUCUGA